RNA transcript from Daktulosphaira vitifoliae (grape phylloxera), 797 nucleotides. RefSeq lists it as uncharacterized. The transcript has 6 exons. Lineage: Eukaryota; Metazoa; Arthropoda; Insecta; Hemiptera; Phylloxeridae. The record is from RefSeq and is a predicted model, not a curated record.
GAAUUACUGAGGAAUUUUUUUUUUUAUAAUUUUAACUAACUUAAGUGGUUAAAAGUCGAACAAUAAAAAUGAAUGUGGUUUUGGGAUUAUUAACAUGUUUAGGUCAAAUAUUAGCAAUGCCGACAAAUCAUGAGAGUUUUAAUAAUAAGAAUCUUGUUCAUGCUAUACUUAGAUUUCAAGAGAGCCGUCAUCCAAGAACAGAUGAGCUAGUUAAAAGGAUGAGUAAUUUUUUGUCGUUUUUUGAUCAGAAUAAAAGCGGUAAAAUAAGUCUUAAAGUUUUUUUAGCUCUUGCAAGGUAUUUAGGUCAAGACACAACACACUUGUCAAAAUCUGGAUUAAGUAUGGAUUCAAUGAUUAAUAUUAACACUCUCGUGGAGAUGACUACUUAUCCAAUGAAAAUGGUAGAAGAAAAGUUGUUAGAGAGUUUUAGACAAUUUGACACCGAAAUAAGUGGUUACAUUAGUUUACCUCACAUGCGUAGCUCAUUAAAUAGUGUCGGAAUUGAUGAUAAGUACAUAUCAAUUAUACUCUUGAAGCUUGAUUUUACAGACGAAAAACAAAAUAUUAAUUAUUCAGGUAGAGAGAAACAAAUAAUUUAUGUGUUGUAUAAAUAGCAUAUUUAGAAAAAUAAAGUGAAUAUAUCACAAGAGAAAAAAUUGAAGAGCUCAGUGUGUUAGCUAAACUUUUUGGAUUUGCUGAUAACUUUUUAAGAAUUUUUGAAGAUUUGGUUCUAAUUUUAAGCUUACAAGUUGAUAAUAUAAUAUUUUUUUUAAAUAAUUUGAUGGUUAAAUAUAUAA